AACAUAGCUGUCAGCUGUGGUUUUAUUCUGUGGAAGGCUAAAAGCCAUCCUAUUUAAUAAUUUUAAUUCAUUUUUGCCCAAAGAUCCAUUUGUGAUAGUUUCCUUUUAAAUUUUAAGAUAUUGAAUAUUAUUCUUCUGACUGAUGCUAUUAUCUGCUGUCACGUAGAUGGCGUAGCCUAGGAAACACGAAGCCAGCCCGGACCAUAUCAUGUCUGUGCUUUCUUCUUGUUCUGUCUCUGACUUAUUUUAUGAAAACUGACAGGUUUUGGGGAAGCCAUUCAUCCCUAGAGUCUGCCUGCGCUGAUGCUCUGAGUCUGUUGGGUUCCCAGAGAGUGAAGGCAGAUUAA
RNAcentral lists this long non-coding RNA (347 nucleotides) under Bos indicus x Bos taurus (hybrid cattle). Its description in RNAcentral is "lncRNA (ENSBIXG00000000760.1)". Lineage: Eukaryota; Metazoa; Chordata; Mammalia; Artiodactyla; Bovidae. The record is from RNAcentral.